This 426-nucleotide ribosomal RNA is filed under the name uncultured bacterium. RNAcentral describes it as "bacterial SSU rRNA". It matches the Rfam family "Bacterial small subunit ribosomal RNA", at positions 354 to 796 of the family's 1533-position model. The record is from RNAcentral.
GCAAGGAAUAGUAGGCAAUGGGCGAAAGCCUGACCUCGCGACGCCGCGUGAAGGAUGAAGGCCUUCGGGUCGUAAACUUCUUUUCUCGGGGAUGAAUAAUGACAGUACCCGGGGAAUAAGUCACGGCUAACUACGUGCCAGCAGCCGCGGUAAGACGUAGGUGGCUAGCGUUAUCCGGAUUUACUGGGCGUAAAGCGUGCGCAGGCGGCCUUUCAAGUCAGGUGUAAAAUCUCCCGGCUCAACUGGGAGGGACCAUCUGAUACUGUUGGGCUAGAGUACAGCAGAGGAAAGUGGAAUUCCCGGUGUAGUGGUGGAAUGCGUAGAUAUCGGGAGGAACACCAGUGGCGAAAGCGGCUUUCUGGGCUGUUACUGACGCUGGAGCACGAAAGCGUGGGGAGCAAACAGGAUUAGAUACCCGAGUAGUCC